UACAGGGGGGGGCAAGCGUUGUUCGGAAUUACUGGGCGUAAAGGGCCAGUAGGCGGCCAACUAAGUCACACGUGAAAUCCCCAGGCUUAACCUGGGAACUGCGUGUGAUACUGGAUGGCUUGAAUUCGGGAGAGGGAUGCAGAAUUCCAGGUGUAGCGGUGAAAUGCGUAGAUAUCUGGAGGAAUACCGGUGGCGAAGGCGGCAUCCUGGACCGAGAUUGACGCUGAACGGCGAAAGCUAGGGGAGCAAACGGG
Molecule: ribosomal RNA, 254 nt
Filed under: uncultured bacterium
Lineage: Bacteria
Description: partial 16S ribosomal RNA
Rfam family: Bacterial small subunit ribosomal RNA
Source: RNAcentral